This 164-nucleotide ribosomal RNA is filed under the name Sabal causiarum. RNAcentral describes it as "5.8S ribosomal RNA". It matches the Rfam family "5.8S ribosomal RNA". Rfam says of the family: 5.8S ribosomal RNA (5.8S rRNA) is a component of the large subunit of the eukaryotic ribosome. It is transcribed by RNA polymerase I as part of the 45S precursor that also contains 18S and 28S rRNA. Functionally, it is thought that 5.8S rRNA may be involved in ribosome translocation. Lineage: Eukaryota; Viridiplantae; Streptophyta; Magnoliopsida; Arecales; Arecaceae. The record is from RNAcentral.
GGUAUGACUCUUGACAAUGGAUUUCUCAGCUCUCGCAUCGAUGAACAACGUAGCAAAAUGCGAUACCUAGUGUGAAUUGUAGUAUCUUGCAAACCAUCGAGUCUUUAAAUGCAAGUUGCACCCGAGGCCACCAGGUCGAGGGCAUGUCUGCUUGGGCAUCACGC